RNAcentral lists this small nucleolar RNA (136 nucleotides) under Aotus nancymaae (Ma's night monkey). RNAcentral's name for it is "U8 small nucleolar RNA (ENSANAG00000008604.1)". It matches the Rfam family "U8 small nucleolar RNA". Rfam says of the family: U8 is a member of the C/D class of snoRNA which contain the C (UGAUGA) and D (CUGA) box motifs. U8 is the RNA component of a small complex (the U8 snoRNP) which is required for accumulation of mature large subunit ribosomal RNAs, 5.8S and 28S rRNAs. Lineage: Eukaryota; Metazoa; Chordata; Mammalia; Primates; Aotidae. The record is from Rfam by way of RNAcentral.
UAGUCGGGCGGGAUAACCCUUACCUGUUCCUCCUUCUGGAGGGCAGUGGAAUAUGGUAAUCGGGGUUGUAGGAUACUUGACUAACGUCUCUGUGUAAUGAGGGCUUGCAAUAUCCUGAUUGAUCCUUCUUCCUGAA